This is a long non-coding RNA of Chelonia mydas (Green sea turtle), 4508 nucleotides long. RefSeq lists it as uncharacterized. The transcript has 2 exons. The record is from RefSeq and is a predicted model, not a curated record. NCBI's taxonomy places the organism in Eukaryota, Metazoa, Chordata, Testudines, Cheloniidae.
GAAGUAAUCACUUUUAUUGGACUAAUUUCUGUUGGUGAGUGAGACAAGCUUUCAAGCAGCAUAGAGCUCUCUUUCAGGUCUGGGAAAGACUUUAUUCUUCUUUGAGUGCUCGUCCAUGUCCAUUCCAGUCUAGGUGUGUACUUGCCCUGAGAACUGCCGGUGGAAAGUUUAUUCCUCAUCUGUCUGGUUGGCUCUGGUGCCCCUUGGGGUUACACGCUUAUGGUGCCAGUAUAAAGGGCCUCACUGACCUGUUGCCCCCUCAGUUCCUUCUUACCAUCUUUAAUGGUCGCUGGAACUACUUCAUCCUUGUGUUUGCAAGAACUCCUCAGUGGACUUUGUUUCUAACUUCUUGUAUAUAGUUUCAGUUAUUAUAGUUGUUUGUUAGAACAGUUAUGUUAAGGAACCCCACAUUGCAGGGUUAGUCCCUGCCUGGCACUGGGGUAUGCCUCGUUCUCCGGGGUUUAAACCUUGUGGUUCUUGCCAUAAGCCUAUGCUGGUGAGGAACACCCGUUCCAGCUGCCUUAGUGCCUGGAGGAAGCUCACGUGUGGGAGCGCACGGACUUCAGGCCCUGCACCAAAAAAGACAGAGAUGUAAGAUUUAAGUUUUAUCCUCAUGGAGGCAGCUCUCCAUUCUCCCUCAGAGCUGAGUCACUUGGGCUUGGCACCGAGCACUUCAGCUUCUGUCAGGAGUGCCCUGGUGACUAUUAGGACUUAGCACCAAUCUCCAUUUCCAGCACCGUUAAGGGAUGUUGUUUCUACCUCUUGGGAGCCUCGGCAUUGUCCAUCAUCUCCAGGGCUGAAGAAAACCGCUCCAGCCAAGGACUCUUGACACCACUCUCUGUCACCAGUGCUGAAAAAGAAGCAGUGGAAGGUGGUCAAUCCCCGUCCCUGAGGUCUCAGAGACUCUAGUAGAGUGCAGUCCACACCAGGCCACUCUGAGACCUCUACAGUCCGCUUGGUACUAUUGACUCCAGCCCCAGAAUCGGCACCAUCGAGUCUGGCAACAAUGGACUCCCUGGGAAGACACCGGAUGCCUACUGCCCUGGCAAUACCUUCAACGUUUCUGGCUGAGAGAGACUUGCUCUCUUUUCUGGUACUGCUGUCCCUGCCAGUACAGGAGAAGUCAACGGCAGUACCAACGGAAAGAUCUGCCACAGCACCAAGACUCCAGGUCCUUCAAAAGGGAAACUGGCCAUGAUGGGUCAGCACCGAUCUCCUCCCUCCUGGCACUGUUCAUCAACACUGAUGGCAACGGUCAGCACCGCUCCACCUUGGUCUCCAGGAAGGGAUUCCUCUGGGACAGACUCAGAGGCAGAGUCAUAUGUCUCCUGCAGGAGUUGGCACCAACACUUCAGCCGGCAAUACCUGACAGUGGACCCAGGCCAGGGCUUCCCAUUUCUGGUGUGUCCAUCAGCACUGUGGCCCUCUGGAAUCCCUGGGUGUUCCCCCCAACACAGGGCUGACCCAGUGGAUACCACAGAGGGAAAAACUUUCUGGCGGCGGUGCUUGGAGUGAGCACACACCUACAUUAGAACGGACAUGAGCAACACAUCUCAAAGGACACCAGUUAUGGAAGAUUAUGAAGUCUUCAAAUCAAGGAGCAUCUUUCUUCAGUGUCAAGAAAGUGCUUAGCACAUAAUGACCUCUACUUGAUAUAAAUAAUUAGAAUAUAAAUUGAGAGCAGAAGUGUCUGGGUUGUAGGAAUCAUUUCAAACUCUUCCCUUCACUUUAGAAGAGACUGAAGAAGGGGUUCCCAAGAGCUAUCUCCAAGAGCCCUACAUAUCACAUCACUGAUGUUCUUUUAUUUGGAGUAAGGCACCUAAAUAUGGUUUUGUAUCUCUUCUAAAACAAGUUUAAACCCCUUCGCGCCCCCCCCCCCCCCAAAAAAAACAAAAAAAACAAAAAAAAAACAAAAACCAACCAACCAACCAACCAACCAACCUUCAUAUGGUAUUAAGUUUGUUGUUGAAUAUUUCUGUUGUAUAAGUAGGAAAGAUUAAUCUGGGAUGUGUAACAAAGUAGCAGAAGCAGAGAAUAUUUGAAAUUCAGACUACAACUGCAGUCUAAUUGGAAUUACAUAGAAAACAUUUAUUUCAUGCUUCUAAAUGAGGAUUUAAUUAAAAUAAAGUUAGCUCAUCUUUUUAGAUUUAUCUCUGAAUGGGAAAUCUGAAACAUACUUCAGUUGAUGGUUGGCUUUCUCUGACUUUGAUUAAUCACUUUCAAAGUAAGCAGAAGAUCGGUGCAGUAAUUUCAUAAUUACACACAAGUGAGUUAACUUGAAACUUUAACUACAAUAACUAACUGUAAAGGACGUUUGAUGUUGGUUAGCUUCAUGUAAUGCUAUAUAUUUAUAAUUUGAAUACUUACAAGUGCUAAUGUGAAAUAAACCUGUACUAUGAUACUAUUCAUUUAUUUGCAAGAUGUUUUAAUAGGGAAAUGUUUGAGUUGGGAAUAUUAUUUUCAAAGAUAUAUGAAGAGUAAUGCUUAGGCCCAAUUCAACCCAAACUGAAGUCAAUAGAAGUGUUUCCAGUGACUUAAUAGAGGUUGGAUCAGGCCCUACAUUUUUAAGUGUUGUUGAAGACAAUUUGAUGAAAUUGUCAUUGUGGUUAAAGACUGGAAAAUUUUCAACAUACCUAGCUCAGCAUGCAUUGUUAUUCCAUCCUGAUGUGUUAGCUCCCUUUUCCCUUUUAAAUACAAAGCUUUGAACUAACUGAAAUAAUUUAAACUGCUGUAUAGUCUGAUUAUUUGUGAUGUAAGUAAAAUAGCCAUGUAGACCAAAGUGCAAGGCAAAACUUUUCUGCAACUUGAAUAUCUUAAAAAGGUCAUACUUCAAGUAAGUUAACCAUGGGUAAAUCAUUGAAUUCCAUUUAAAUUUGAAUUUAUGUGAAUAUUGCAAAAGAUUGAUUUUAUUCUCUGCUAAUGUAACAGAAAUCCUUAUUUGAAGCCAACCAUUUAAUCACCUGUGCACAUCAUCAUAUGGCAAAUUGACACAAUUUAUGUUAACUUGAACUAUGGGCUUGAUAAAAUAUUCAGCAAGGUGUUUAUAUACAGUCUUACAGAGAGCUCUUUUAACUAAAAAUUCCACAUUAUCCCACAGGAUAUUGUAAACUUCACCACAGAGUUCGACACUUUAAGAUAACAGCAAUGUAUAUUUACUACAGAUACUUCUAUUUCUUUUUAUUAUGAUCUCUUAGUUUCCAAGAUUAAUGCAAAGUAUGCAAGGUCAACUUUUAUUCAGGGGCACUGACAAUCAGCUUUAUUGAAGAAGGAAUUUAUGUUCUGCUUUUUAAUUGAAGUGUGACCUUUCAAGAUAUUUUUAUGACUAGAGUCUUGCUGAAGCCCAGGAAAGUUCAGUAAAUGAUUGAAGUGUCUCUUGACAGUCUGAUUCAAUGUUUCUUCUUCCAAAUAAAGUAUAUCUUGAAUUUUUAAACUUUUUUUUGCCAGUUUAGCUGACUGACUUGGGUAAGUACUGUAAAGACACAUGGCUAGUGUGUGGCCACAUUAUUUUUUACUUGGAUUUUAUUUGGAUUUUGGUUAGAGGAACAUUAUUCAAUUUUUAUCAUAUGGGAGAAAACCACACUCAGACUUAGGAGAAAAAUGUUAAGCUUCCAUUCUGCUACUCUCUGUAAGAACCUUUUAUAUGUUUUCAGUUUAUACAGAUUGUUUACUUUGUAGAAACGGUAAAAAUUAUAUAGAUUAGAAGGAAGGUAAAAUUUGGGUUUGAGGAAUCUAUUAAAGUCUGUGUACACCCUCUUUUCUUUCUUGGUAUUAUAUUGCCUCUUAAUUUACACCAAGUCAUUUUUAAAGAGGAUUAUACAUAUUUAAUGUAAGAAAUGUAUUUAAAAGAAAGGGUUGCCAAUCAGUCUAAAUUUGUUACAGUUAAAAUUUGAUGGUCUAAAGACAACUUAUAAUUCUUUUCUUGUUAUAAAGUGUUGUCAAAUGUGUAGUAGUUUCAGUUAAAAAGUUUAUGGAAACUUUGUUUUAAGGUGGUUUAAAAUAGAACUAAAUCUUUAAUUUGAAUUUGAUGGCACCUGUUUUCAUUUUGUUUCCCUGGCAACACCACUGGUACCAAAAAUUGCCUGUAGACCACCCUAGAGAAGAACUAAAUCAUUCUGUUUUUUUCAUUUUAGCCUUUUACUUUACUGACUAAAUAUUUAAACAGAGCCAUAACACAUCUGUCAAAGUUUGUGAACUAGCUUUAGAAUAAAUGAGUUUGGGGUGCACAAUUCCCAAAUUUUCCCAGAUUAAUUUUUGUUGUUUAGUUAUUUUAAAAUUUUAUUAAGAAUAACAUAGAAAAAUUACUUGUGUAUUACAUGAGAUGAAAUAAAAAGCAGUGUUUGAAACAAAUAGUUCACCUUUUGUCAAGCAGAGCUAAGUUUGUAUUUUUAGUCAAUAUGAUCUGUUUUUAAAGUUGUACGAAUAUAAGGUUGGUUCCAGAUGUGAAUAAGUUUUCAUUAUUGAGGUUCCCAUGGGAAAGAAAUAAAGCCAACACAAAUGUUACCUCCAGA